UGUGUGUGUGUGUGUGUGCGUUUGUAAGACCAGCGUAGUGGUGCCCUUUGUCCGAUACACCUACGCGAAGUGGUGCCCGUUUGCAUAGUGGUGCCCGAAAAUCGGGCACCACUAUGCUGAGCAUCACAACGCCUUCCUUAUGUCGUGAUAUAACGUCUGUAUAAAUAUCAGAUGGGCCCCUUUUUACUGGAUUUUGCCAUAAAGAGUGUGACUCAAGGUCACGUGACUUCCCUCGCGUUCACACAAAUCCGCCGGGCAUUUCAGCUUUCUGCUGUGCCAUAUUGAUGACGUAUGAAAGAGAUGGUACUUUGUGAUGAUGGAAUGGGUAGGUAUUUUGCAUGUACAAUUGCAAAUAUUUUGAUGUUUUCGGUUUUGGGUGGCAGGUAGAUUAAAUAAUAACAAAUUCAUACCUAGCGUUUUUAAAUAGGUAGUAAAUAGGCACCUUGAAAUGACAACACGCCCAUCCAGAAGUACUGGUGUCCAGCUCUAUCAACUACCAGUCCGCCAUUCGCGCGCUGGGCGACUUCGAUUUGGACGACAAUCCCAGGUCGAUGUCCGUACUCUCACGUCCGUCCGCGAGUUGUCGCGCGGUCCACCAGGGAGAGGUGGCAAGCAGACUGUCCAACUGGCUGGUACUGCAUCGUUAUAGGGGACCGCUGGUCCGAGCCGCUACCAGGAAGGAGGCUGUUGACACUCAUCAGCUCUGGUCGGGCCACUGGGGAUGAUCGGAGCAGUAUCUUCACCGGAUUGAGAGGAGAUCAAUGUCCGAGUUCGCCUAAUGUAACGACAAUAAAUGCCAAGCUGGCCGCUGCCUGGUCUGCGGUGAAGCAGUGGACACCUAAGCGCACGUGUUGCCGGAGUGUCCGUGCUUUUACGGCCCUCGGCUGUGUGCGCUAUGGAACAUCGUCGGCGCGGCCCUCGAUGUCAAGCGCGACGACGUGGUGGUGACCUUAGCCGCCGGCUACGAGGCCCGCAAGAGGCUUGUAUUGGCUACGGCGGUAGCUGUGGGGACACAGCAACAACGACAUCAACAGCUGGCGGCGGAAGUGGCCCCGGAGCUACGCACCUGCGGACAGAGCUACCGCUGAUCCACAUCUCAGCUGAUGAUGCUCAACAGACGGAGAGACUGAGGCGCUGGACAGCGAGUCUGUCUGUGGUUGUGCUGAAGACGGCGUCGGACGACCAUCAGUUCCGGCUGGCGAAUCUAGCCAGCUCCGACCCCGUCCAGCUGCCCGACGAGUGCUUACCAAAACAGCCGCUCGCUGCUGCCGUGCGCCAAGAUGGCCGUCCACCGCCACCGAUGCCGCCACUCGCUCGCCAAGACGCCCGUCCAUUGGUGCCACCGCCCCACGCCCACUUGCGCUCUGCCACCGUUGACUGCGGCUAGCCGAGAUUCAGGUUCAAGGUUUAGGCAUACCUACAUUAAUGUUAAUUGCCUAUAUUCAUCGAAGCGAAGGUGUGGUGACAAAGAUGCCUAUGGUGGUGAAAUACGGUGUACGCAGCUCCUGGUGAUGUUUUUAUUGCCCUUAGCUUGCCAUCCAAUACCUAUCAUCAUUUGAUCAUGUAUGCUGACUUGAGUGGCUGAUAUUUGAUAAUAUAUAGCAUGAAGUGUU
Molecule: RNA transcript, 1613 nt
Organism: Amphibalanus amphitrite
Lineage: Eukaryota; Metazoa; Arthropoda; Thecostraca; Balanomorpha; Balanidae
Exons: 3
Source: RefSeq, a predicted model, not a curated record